Molecule: long non-coding RNA, 251 nt
Organism: Neopelma chrysocephalum (saffron-crested tyrant-manakin)
Lineage: Eukaryota; Metazoa; Chordata; Aves; Passeriformes; Pipridae
Exons: 3
Source: RefSeq, a predicted model, not a curated record
AUCUUGUCGGAGGAGUAUUUUCGUCUCAGCUGUUAUUCUGAUGUCAGUUGAGAGAGUGAAGCAUUUAUAGUCUCCAAGGCUCUUUCCUGUGACUGCGUGCUAUAGGUGACAAGGUUUCCUGUAGGAAACCUGCUAAAGGUUCAUCACUGUGCUUUCCACUGGAAGCAAGUUACCCCUUAUUUUCAACUGAAAAGUCAGAUGAAUGAUUCAAAAUGUUUUGUCUGAAUGAAGAUGACCAGUCUCCUUAUCUG